AAUUAGGAACUCAUUGUCAAGUAAAAGUUUAGGUAAUUCUGAAUUAUAAGACCUGCACACUAGAUUUUAGGAAGGAAAGAAAGAACAGCCUUAUGAAAUGAACCUGAGUUUAAGACAUAAUCCUCUAAAUAAACCUCAAAGCAAUUAGCAAUGUGGUCAAAAGCUAUAUUCUAUUAACCAACAUUUGUAAGAGCACCAGCUUUUAGACCCUAU
RNAcentral lists this unclassified non-coding RNA (213 nucleotides) under Hevea brasiliensis (rubber tree). Lineage: Eukaryota; Viridiplantae; Streptophyta; Magnoliopsida; Malpighiales; Euphorbiaceae. The record is from RNAcentral.